GACGAACGCUGGCGGCGUGCCUAAUACAUGCAAGUCGAGCGCUCGAGGGAGGUACUUGUACCUACUGGAUGAGCAGCGAACGGGUGAGUAACACGUGGGGAACCUGCCUUUGAGAGGGGGACAACAUCUGGAAACGAAUGCUAAUACCGCAUAAAAACUUUAACCACAAGUUUUAAGAUUGAAAGAUGCAAUUGCAUCACCUAAAGAUGAUCCCGCGUUGUAUUAGCUAGUUGGUAAGGUAAAGGCCUACCAAGGCAAUCAUACAUAGCCGACCUGGAAGGGUGAUCGCCCCCACUGGAACUGGGACACGCCCCAACCCCUUCCGGGGGCAGCAGUAGGGGAUUCUCGGCAAUUGACGGAAGUCUGGCCGGGCAACGGCGCGUGGAGUAAGGAGGUUCUCGGAUCGUUAAACUCUGGAUGUAAGGGAGAACGUUAGGGGGAGGUGAAUGCGCAUCAAGUGACGGUACCUACCCAGAAAGGGACGGCUAACUACGUG
RNAcentral lists this ribosomal RNA (496 nucleotides) under uncultured bacterium. RNAcentral describes it as "partial 16S ribosomal RNA". It matches the Rfam family "Bacterial small subunit ribosomal RNA", at positions 28 to 507 of the family's 1533-position model. The record is from RNAcentral.